This 657-nucleotide ribosomal RNA is filed under the name uncultured bacterium. Its description in RNAcentral is "bacterial SSU rRNA". It matches the Rfam family "Bacterial small subunit ribosomal RNA", at positions 232 to 885 of the family's 1533-position model. The record is from RNAcentral.
CGCGGCCUAUCAGCUUGUUGGUGGGGUGAUGGCCUACCAAGGCGACGACGGGUAGCCGGCCUGAGAGGGUGUCCGGCCACACUGGGACUGAGAUACGGCCCAGACUCCUACGGGAGGCAGCAGUGGGGAAUAUUGCACAAUGGGCGCAAGCCUGAUGCAGCGACGCCGCGUGGGGGAUGACGGCCUUCGGGUUGUAAACCUCUUUCACCAUCGGCGAAGCCCGUAGCUUUUGUUGUGGGUGACGGUAGGUGGAGAAGAAGCACCGGCCAACUACGUGCCAGCAGCCGCGGUAAUACGUAGGGUGCGAGCGUUGUCCGGAAUUACUGGGCGUAAAGAGCUCGUAGGUGGUUUGUCGCGUUGUCCGUGAAAUUCCCUGGCUUAACUGGGGGCGUGCGGGCGAUACGGGCAGACUGGAGUACUGCAGGGGAGACUGGAAUUCCUGGUGUAGCGGUGGAAUGCGCAGAUAUCAGGAGGAACUCCGGUGGCGAAGGCGGGUCUCUGGGCAGUAACUGACGCUGAGGAGCGAAAGCGUGGGGAGCGAACAGGAUUAGAUACCCUGGUAGUCCACGCCGUAAACGGUGGGUACUAGGUGUGGGUUUCCUUCCUUGGGAUCCGUGCCGUAGCUAACGCAUUAAGUACCCCGCCUGGGGAGUACGG